Molecule: long non-coding RNA, 1044 nt
Filed under: Echeneis naucrates (live sharksucker)
Lineage: Eukaryota; Metazoa; Chordata; Actinopteri; Carangiformes; Echeneidae
Description: lncRNA (ENSENLG00000000267.1)
Source: RNAcentral
UGACGGACACCACGUCUGACACUGUGGUCAGCAGUACAGGAGCACCGCAGGGGACAGUGCUGGCCCCCCUUCUCUUCACCCUAUACACCUCAGACUUCUGCUACAGCUCGGAGCUGUGUCACAUCCAGAAGUUUGCAGAUGACACAGUUAUCAUGGGGUGUAUUAGGGAUGAUAGAGAAGAAGAGUACAGGAGUCUGGUGAAUGACUUUGUUGUCUGGAGCCAAAGGAACCACCUGCACCUCAACACCUCAAAGACUAAAGAGCUAGUCAUGGACUUUGGGAAGUCCAGACCGUGUCCACGUCCAGUGCUGGUCAGGGGUGAUGAGGUGGAGGUUGUAGGUAACUACAAAUACCUUGGGGUUUGGCUGGAUAACAAGCUGGACUGGUCAUGUAACUCAGAACACCUGUACAAGAGGGGCCAGUGUAGACUGUACUUCCUGAGGAGACUGCGAUCUUUUAACAUCUGCAGGAAACUGCUGCAGAUGUUUUACCAGUCUGUGGUUGCCAGUGCCCUCUUCUAUGCUGUGGUGUGUUGGGGUGGCAGUACAUCCACAAAGCACUCAAACAGGUUGGACAAGCUGAUCAGGCGAGCUAGCUCUGUGGUUGGCACAAAGCUGGACUCUCUGGUGACAGUUGCAGAGAGGAGAUCCAGAAACAAACUGCUGGCUAUUAUGGACAACGCCAGUCACCCUCUGCAGCCUGUCAUCAGUGCACAGAAAAGCCUGUUGAGUGACAGACUGCUUCUCCCCAGGUGCAGAACCAACAGAUUCAAAGACUCCUUUGUCCCCCGAGCAAUAAAACUGUAUAACUCUGCACUAGGUGGGAGGGGGAGGAGUAGCAGGAAGAAAGAGGGAUUGGAGAAGAUGGGACACUAAAAAAAACUGAAUAUUUAUGGUUGUACAUUUGUUGUUUAUAUAUUUCAAACUGUGUGCUUUCUUUUACUGUUCUUGUCGGUGCUGUACCUGCUGGAACAACAAUUUCCCUGACGGAGACCUCCCAAGGGAUUAAUAAAGUCUAUCUUAUCUUAUCUUAUCUUAUCUUAUG